GGCGGACGGGUGAGUAACGCGUAAAGAACUUGCCCUUUAGACUGGGAUAACAGAGGGAAACUUCUGAUAAUACUGGAUAAGUUAGUAUAUCGCAUGAUAUGCAAAUGAAAGCUACGGCACUAAAGGAGAGCUUUGCGUCCUAUUAGCUAGUUGGUAAGGUAAGAGCUUACCAAGGCGAUGAUAGGUAGCCGGCCUGAGAGGGUGGACGGCCACAAGGGGACUGAGAUACGGCCCUUACUCCUACGGGAGGCAGCAGCG
Molecule: ribosomal RNA, 258 nt
Filed under: uncultured Leptotrichia sp.
Lineage: Bacteria; Fusobacteriati; Fusobacteriota; Fusobacteriia; Fusobacteriales; Leptotrichiaceae
Description: partial 16S ribosomal RNA
Rfam family: Bacterial small subunit ribosomal RNA
Source: RNAcentral